RNAcentral lists this transfer RNA (88 nucleotides) under bacterium. RNAcentral's name for it is "tRNA-Leu". It matches the Rfam family "tRNA". Rfam says of the family: Transfer RNA (tRNA) molecules are approximately 80 nucleotides in length. Their secondary structure includes four short double-helical elements and three loops (D, anti-codon, and T loops). Further hydrogen bonds mediate the characteristic L-shaped molecular structure. tRNAs have two regions of fundamental functional importance: the anti-codon, which is responsible for specific mRNA codon recognition, and the 3' end, to which the tRNAs corresponding amino acid is attached (by aminoacyl-tRNA synthetases). tRNAs cope with the degeneracy of the genetic code in two manners: having more than one tRNA (with a specific anti-codon) for a particular amino acid; and 'wobble' base-pairing, i.e. permitting non-standard base-pairing at the 3rd anti-codon position. The record is from RNAcentral. RNAcentral also lists the same sequence under 1 other name.
GCCCGGGUGGCGAAAUGGCAGACGCACGAGACUUAAAAUCUCGGGUAUGGCAACGUACGUGCGGGUUCGAGUCCCGCCCCGGGCACAA